UUAAAUAGCGCCGCUAAAUUUCACGGAGCAGCAGAUGAACCUCUCAGGCUUCAGUCGUGUCGGUGAGGGAUUAAAGAUUAAAAGGAAGAACCGGAUGUCAACUGAUUUCUCCCUAAUAUGUGAGGACCAAUGUGGAGGCGGAGGUGUUCUUCUGAUGAAACAUCCCCAACCAAAUCAGAGGCAGCGGACGUACAGUGGAGUGGUACAAGAUCGAGUGUGCUCUGGAAAUUGGAUGCUGGAAUGGGCAGCAAAGCCAACCUAAACUCAAUCAGCAACCCCGAUCCGUCGAGUCGUGGACUCGAACUGGACCUCUGAAAGUGUGCCGGCACCGAGGCGUUCGCAGCAGAUCCUUUAAGUCCUGCCUUCAGCCUUGUUUGCCCAGCACAAUUCCACAGAUGCUCGAUUGGAUGAGAUCGCAGGAGUUUGGAGGUAAGUAAACAUC
Long non-coding RNA from Mugil cephalus (flathead mullet), 442 nucleotides. RefSeq lists it as uncharacterized. The transcript has 3 exons. Lineage: Eukaryota; Metazoa; Chordata; Actinopteri; Mugiliformes; Mugilidae. The record is from RefSeq and is a predicted model, not a curated record.